AUUGAACGCUGGCGGCAUGCUUUACACAUGCAAGUCGAACGGUAACAGGCCUUCGGGUGCUGACGAGUGGCGAACGGGUGAGUAAUGCAUCGGAACGUACCCAGAGGUGGGGGAUAACGCAGCGAAAGCUGUGCUAAUACCGCAUGUGAUCUGAGGAUGAAAGCGGGGGACCGAGCAGCAAUGUUUGGCCUCGCGCCUUUGGAGCGGCCGAUGUCGGAUUAGCUAGUUGGUGGGGUAAAGGCCUACCAAGGCGACGAUCCGUAGCUGGUCUGAGAGGACGACCAGGCACAAUGGGACUGAGAGACGGCCCAGACUCCGACGGGAGGCAGCAGUGGGGAAUUUUGGACAAUGGGCGCAAGCCUGAUCCAGCAAUGCCGCGUGCGGGAAGAAGGCCUUCGGGUUGUAAACCGCUUUUGGCAGGAACGAAACGGUGUCCGCUAAUACCGGGCGCUAAUGACGGUACCUGCAGAAUAAGCACCGGCUAACUACGUG
RNAcentral lists this ribosomal RNA (492 nucleotides) under uncultured bacterium. RNAcentral's name for it is "partial 16S ribosomal RNA". It matches the Rfam family "Bacterial small subunit ribosomal RNA", at positions 29 to 507 of the family's 1533-position model. The record is from RNAcentral.